AAUAGAUUGAGAACUUUAAAAACCCCCAAAUUAAAAAAACAGAACUUUAAGUUCUUUUUCCCAGUUUGUUUGGCUCAUUAUCUGGGUUUCUGAAUGCGUGAUUGAUGCUGAAAUUGCAGAAAAAACAAGAGGAUUUCAAAGGGGAAGAAAGGAGGGAUGAUGAAAGCAGAUAUUUUGAAGGGCAAAGCAAACUUUUGAAAGGGUGCCAGAAGGAAACAGGGGACGAUUGGUAAAAACUUCUCACAUUCUAGGUAAUUUUAGCUUUAUUUAAGAAAUUACAGUGAAAGUUGCUGGAGCUGCUGCCAUGGAUUUUGUGUCCAAUAAAUUGAAAGAAGAAAUAAAUGGCUGGGAGUUCUUGUAAUGCAUCCAAGUGCAAGAUAUGCACUUUAUGUUAUAAACCUCAUUCGUGAACAUACUUUUUACAAUUUGUGUAGAGAGAGACCAUGUGAAGGCCCGAGAAGAGUGUGAUUUCCAUGUGCAGUGAUUCCACAUGGAAACCUUCUGAAACCAUGUGAGGUGAAUUUGAGUAACAAGAUGGUUGGCAACAUCAUUUCAAUUUUUCUUGAAUUAUUGGGCUUUGAUGAUUUAAUUGGUUUCAAAAGUGAUGUGGAAAAAGAAUGUCAUGAUAUUGAUGAGCCACGCUUGUGGUAUGGGGGGAGAAUUGGGUUCAAAGAUGAUGAGAUUUGAAGAGAAGACAGCCCUCAUGACUGCUACCAUGUUUGGGAAGCAAGGGUGUGUUGAGUUAUAUACUGGAAACCAGUUGCGUUGAUGUUAACAAGGCUUGUGGUUUGGAUGAGCUUCUGUACUUCAUUUUGUUGCUGAUGUGGACUUUGAUAUUUCAACUGAGGUUAUUUAGCUUUUGCUUGAAGCUUCUGCACUUCCUUCUGUCUGGUUGCAUACUAUUGAGUAUGUACAGUACACCUUGUUCAUUUUAUAAUUUUUAUUCUUGCUAUUUCUUUGCCCUGUAGUAAUUGUAUUUAAAUAAUUUUAUGUAAUAGAACAUGUAUAUAUUAGGUGUGGAUGUUGGAUUCUAUAAAUCAUGUAUCCUUGAUAUGGACUGUAACAUAUAUAUAUAUAUAUAUAUAUAUAUUUUAAUGAA
This is a long non-coding RNA of Quercus lobata, 1099 nucleotides long. RefSeq lists it as uncharacterized. The transcript is spliced from 4 exons. The record is from RefSeq and is a predicted model, not a curated record. NCBI's taxonomy places the organism in Eukaryota, Viridiplantae, Streptophyta, Magnoliopsida, Fagales, Fagaceae.